This 569-nucleotide long non-coding RNA is filed under the name Spirodela polyrhiza (greater duckweed). RNAcentral's name for it is "long non-coding RNA (SPOL_LNC000960)". The record is from RNAcentral. Lineage: Eukaryota; Viridiplantae; Streptophyta; Magnoliopsida; Alismatales; Araceae.
GCGAGAGUCGAUGGGAAAUUAUUCGCGCAUUUAUAAAAUUAUUAAUUUAUAUAUUGAUAAUGAAUAAAGUACUAAUUUCCCAUACAGAAAUCCAGCACUGAGAGCUCUAAGCUUUUGAGAGUCAGGAAUCGAUUCCUCACAGUUGCAAGGUGCUACCGAUCCAUCUUCAACAGCCAUCUUUUACUGGUGCGCCGUCGCUGAAAGCUGAGGGUCGUCGGAGACCUCGUCGUCCUCUUCCUCUUCAUCUGCUUCGACUGUUUGGGGCGAUCGAUCAGGGUUUCAUCCGGUCCGUACCUCCCCGGGCACCGGCAAUCGCUAUCAGGUACACGGAAGAUCGUCCUCCUCCUAUCCAAUCGAUCAAUCACAAGUUAAUCUCGCCUGCCCGCAACACGAAUCGGAAUUUGGGGCGAUCGGGCGUUGGAAAUGGAGGAGGGGCGCUCUCCGGCCGCUGGAGCUACCUGGUGGAUCUCCGAUUCGGUUGGGACGCUCCGCGGCCAAUAUCAUCGGUUCCUUACUCCCGCCGCCAUCCCCUGCCCUAACCUACGCUCUCCUCUUCUCGAUCGACGGAU